GGCGGAUGCAGCCUACCUCCUGGGCAGUGAGCUGCGGUCUGAGGCCCCUGCCCAGCUGGAAACCACAGGGAGGGGAAGGCAGGGGAGGAGAGGAGAGGAGAGGAACCGUCAUGGGGCCUUGGAGUCGAGUCAGGGUUGCCAAAUGCCAGAUGCUGGUCACCUGCUUCUUUAUCUUGCUGCUGGGCCUCUCUGUGGCCACCAUGGUGACUCUUACCUACUUCGGGGCCCACUUUGCUGUCAUCCGCCGAGCAUCCCUGGAGAAGAACCCGUACCAGGCUGUGCACCAAUGGGCCUUCUCUGCGGGGUUGAGCCUGGUGGGCCUCCUGACUCUGGGAGCCGUGCUGAGCGCUGUAGCCACCGUGAAGGAGGCCCAGGGCCUCAUGGCGGGGGGCUUCCUGUGCUUCUCCCUGGCGUUCUGCACACAGGUGCAGGUGGUGUUCUGGAGACUCCACAGCCCCACCCAGGUGGAGGACGCCAUGCUGGACACCUACGACCUGGUAUAUGAGCAGGCGAUGAAAGGCACGUCCCACGUCCGGCGGCAGGAGCUGGCGGCCAUCCAGGACGUGUUUCUGUGCUGUGGGAAGAGGUCUCCUUUCAGCCGUCUGGGGAGCACAGAGGCUGACCUGUGUCAGGGAGAGGAGGCGGCGAGAGAGGUGCUGUGCCCGGCCCUGGGCUGGAUGCUGGGAACCCAGAGUGAAUUAGAAGUGGCCCGGCCCAGGGGAGCCAACGUGUGGCCCAACA
Molecule: small RNA, 741 nt
Filed under: Pan troglodytes (chimpanzee)
Lineage: Eukaryota; Metazoa; Chordata; Mammalia; Primates; Hominidae
Description: processed transcript
Source: RNAcentral